This 468-nucleotide ribosomal RNA is filed under the name uncultured bacterium. RNAcentral's name for it is "partial 16S ribosomal RNA". It matches the Rfam family "Bacterial small subunit ribosomal RNA", at positions 28 to 507 of the family's 1533-position model. The record is from RNAcentral.
GACGAACGCUGGCGGCGUGCUUAACACAUGCAAGUCGAACGGAAAGGCCCUGCUUUUGUGGGGUGCUCGAGUGGCGAACGGGUGAGUAACACGUGAGUAACCUGCCCUUGACUUUGGGAUAACUUCAGGAAACUGGGGCUAAUACCGGAUAGGAGCUCCUGCUGCAUGGUGGGGGUUGGAAAGUUUCGGCGGUUGGGGAUGGACUCGCGGCUUAUCAGCUUGUUGGUGGGGUAGGUGCUUACCAAGGCUUUGACGGGUAGCCGGCCUGAGAGGGUGAACGGCCACAUUGGGACUGAGAUACGGCGCAGACUCCUACGGGAGGCAGCAGUGGGGAAUAUUGCACAAUGGGCGGGAGCCUGAUGCAGCAACGCCGCGUGCGGGAUGACGGCCUUCGGGUUGUAAACCGCUUUCGCCUGUGACGAAGCGUGAGUGACGGUAAUGGGUAAAGAAGCACCGGCUAACUACGUG